CGUAGCCGGUACUGCAAGUCUUCCGUUAAAUCCACCUGCUUAACAGUUGGGCUGCGGGGGAUACUACAGCGCUAGGAGGCGGGAGAGGCAAGCGGUACUCAAUGGGUAGGGGUAAAAUCCGCUGAUCCAUUGAAGACCACCAGUGGCGAAGGCGGCUUGCCAGAACGCGCUCGACGGUGAGGGAUGAAAGCUGGGGGAGCAAACCGGAUUAGAUACCCGGGUAGUCCCAGCUGUAAACGAUGCAGACUCGGUGAUGGGCUGGCCUUGUGCCAACCCAGUGCCGCAGGGAAGCCGUUAAGUCUGCCGCCUGGGGAGUACGGUCGCAAGACUGAAACUUAA
Molecule: ribosomal RNA, 339 nt
Filed under: uncultured archaeon
Lineage: Archaea
Description: bacterial SSU rRNA
Rfam family: Archaeal small subunit ribosomal RNA
Source: RNAcentral